GACGAACGCUGGCGGCGUGCUUAACACAUGCAAGUCGAACGGAAAGGCCCUGCUCUUGUGGGUUGCUCGAUUGGCGAACGGGUGAGUAACACGCGAGUAACCUGCCCUUGACUUUGGGGUAACUUCAGGAAACUGGGGCUAAUACCGGAUAGAAUCUCCUGCUGCAUGUGGUGGGUUGGAAAGUUUCGGCGGUUGUGGCUGGACUGGCGGCUUAUCAGCUUGUUGGUGGGGUAGUGGCGUACCAAGGCUUUGACGGGUAGCCGGCCUGAGAGGGUGACCGGCCUCAUUGGGACUGAGAUACGGACCAGAAUCCUACGGGCGGCAGCAGUGGGGAAUAUUGCACAAUGGGCGGAAGCCUGAUGCAGCAACGCCGGGUGCGGGAUGACGGCCUUCGGGUUGUAAACCGCUUUCGCCUGUGACGAAGCGUGAGUGACGGUAAUGGGUAAAGAAGCACCGGCUAACUACGUG
RNAcentral lists this ribosomal RNA (468 nucleotides) under uncultured bacterium. RNAcentral's name for it is "partial 16S ribosomal RNA". It matches the Rfam family "Bacterial small subunit ribosomal RNA", at positions 28 to 507 of the family's 1533-position model. The record is from RNAcentral.